This 87-nucleotide transfer RNA is filed under the name Leptospiraceae bacterium. Its description in RNAcentral is "tRNA-Tyr". It matches the Rfam family "transfer-messenger RNA", at positions 281 to 371 of the family's 374-position model. From Rfam's summary of the family: Bacterial tmRNA, also known as 10Sa RNA or SsrA, is named for its dual tRNA and mRNA-like properties. Its role is to liberate the mRNA from a stalled ribosome. To accomplish this part of the tmRNA is used as a reading frame that ends in a translation stop signal. The record is from RNAcentral. Lineage: Bacteria; Pseudomonadati; Spirochaetota; Leptospiria; Leptospirales; Leptospiraceae.
UGCUUUACGGUACUAAAAGCAUCGGCUAAGCAUGUAGAUGCUUAUGGUACGCACAGUAGGACGCGGGUUCGAAUCCCGCCGUCUCCA